GACGAACGCUGGCGGCGUGCUUAACACAUGCAAGUCGUACGGUAAGGCCCUUUCGGGGGUACACGAGUGGCGAACGGGUGAGUAACACGUGAGUAACCUGCCCACAACUUUGGGAUAACGCUAGGAAACUGGUGCUAAUACUGGAUAUUUGCUCCUGCUGCAUGGUGGGGGUUGGAAAGCUCCGGCGGUUGUGGAUGGACUCGCGGCCUAUCAGCUUGUUGGUGGGGUAGUGGCCUACCAAGGCGGCGACGGGUAGCCGGCCUGAGAGGGUGACCGGCCACAUUGGGACUGAGAUACGGCCCAGACGCCUACGGGAGGCAGCAGUGGGGAAUAUUGCACAAGGGGCGCAAGCCUGAUGCAGCAACGCCGCGUGCGGGAGGACGGACUUCGGGUUGUAAACCGCUUUCAGCAGGGACGAAGCUUUUUGUGACGGUACCUGCAGAAGAAGCACCGGCUAACUACGUG
This 465-nucleotide ribosomal RNA is filed under the name uncultured bacterium. RNAcentral's name for it is "partial 16S ribosomal RNA". It matches the Rfam family "Bacterial small subunit ribosomal RNA", at positions 28 to 507 of the family's 1533-position model. The record is from RNAcentral.